CCUACGGGAGGCAGCAGUGAGGAAUAUUGGACAAUGGGCGCAAGCCUGAUCCAGCCAUGCCGCGUGCAGGAUGACGGUCCUAUGGAUUGUAAACUGCUUUUGCACAGGAAGAAACAACAUUACGUGUAAUGUCUUGACGGUACUGUGAGAAUAAGGAUCGGCUAACUCCGUGCCAGCAGCCGCGGUAAUACGGAGGAUCCAAGCGUUAUCCGGAAUCAUUGGGUUUAAAGGGUCCGUAGGCGGUCUUAUAAGUCAGUGGUGAAAUCUCCCCGCUCAACGGGGAAACGGCCAUUGAUACUGUAGGACUUGAAUUAUUAGGAAGUAACUAGAAUAUGUAGUGUAGCGGUGAAAUGCUUAGAGAUUACAUGGAAUACCAAUUGCGAAGGCAGGUUACUACUAAUGUAUUGACGCUGAUGGACGAAAGCGUGGGUAGCGAACAGGAUUAGAUACCCUGGUAGUCCACGCCGUAAACGAUGGAUACUAGNUGUUGGUCGGCGAGUACGUAGUGGUCGUAAGACGAAAGUAGAAGUAAAGUAAGUACCGACCGUACGGGUAAGGUACGGUUACGUUACGAAGUAAAGUUAAGAAACGUAACGAAAGGAAAGUUAGUACGGACGUUGAGGACGAGCCGACGGACGACGACGAGGGAGGAGG
Molecule: ribosomal RNA, 654 nt
Filed under: uncultured bacterium
Lineage: Bacteria
Description: bacterial SSU rRNA
Rfam family: Bacterial small subunit ribosomal RNA (bases 1-546)
Source: RNAcentral